RNAcentral lists this long non-coding RNA (405 nucleotides) under Nicotiana benthamiana. RNAcentral describes it as "long non-coding RNA (NBEN_LNC034594)". Lineage: Eukaryota; Viridiplantae; Streptophyta; Magnoliopsida; Solanales; Solanaceae. The record is from RNAcentral.
AAGCUCUGAUUAUGGUGAUACUUUCAUGAAUGCCAUGGAAGAUGAAAACGUGUUAUUAUUGGAGAAUAUUGAUGUUCUUCUAGCUGAGCACAAGAUUGAAGAAGCAAUAGAGGCAAUAGAUGCUAAAGAAAGAAGUCAACCUGAGCUGAAAAGUUCAGGAGAGACUUCAUCUUGCAGUAGUUUUAAUAUUGAUGUUCUUCUAGCUGAGCACAAGAUUGAAGAAGCAAUAGAGGCAAUAGAUGCUAAAGAAAGAAGUCAACCUGAGCUGAAAAGUUCAGGAGAGACUUCAUCUGCUGAACCAUCAUCUUUUAAGUCUGCUUUGUCUAAAAGAAAAAAGAUGCUCGAGAAUCAGCUGGUUGAGAUCACAGAACGACCCUCAAUUGAUAUUGUCGAACUUAAGAAGUC